RNAcentral lists this ribosomal RNA (387 nucleotides) under uncultured bacterium. RNAcentral describes it as "bacterial SSU rRNA". It matches the Rfam family "Archaeal small subunit ribosomal RNA", at positions 339 to 726 of the family's 1478-position model. The record is from RNAcentral.
GCGCGAAAACUUUACAAUGCUGGCAACAGCGAUAAGGGAACCUCGAGUGCCAGGUUACGAAUCUGGCUGUCGAGAUGCCUAAAAAGCAUUUCAUAGCAAGGGCCGGGCAAGACCGGUGCCAGCCGCCGCGGUAACACCGGCGGCUCGAGUGGUAACCGUUAUUAUUGGGUCUAAAGGGUCUGUAGCCGGCCGGAUAAGUCUCUUGAGAAAUCUGGCAGCUUAACUGUCAGGCUUUCAGGAGAUACUGUCUGGCUCGAGGCCGGGAGAGGUGAGAGGUACUUCAGGGGUAGGGGUGAAAUCUUGUAAUCCUUGAAGGACCACCAGUGGCGAGGGCGUCUCACCAGAACGGACCUGACGGCAAGGGACGAAAGCUAGGGGCACGAACCG